AGCGACGUGGGGAAACGGCUAACCCGUUGGGCUCAUAACCCAAAGAUAGUACGAUCGACACGUACCGUCGCUA
Pneumocystis jirovecii is the source of this 73-nucleotide transfer RNA. It matches the Rfam family "tRNA". From Rfam's summary of the family: Transfer RNA (tRNA) molecules are approximately 80 nucleotides in length. Their secondary structure includes four short double-helical elements and three loops (D, anti-codon, and T loops). Further hydrogen bonds mediate the characteristic L-shaped molecular structure. tRNAs have two regions of fundamental functional importance: the anti-codon, which is responsible for specific mRNA codon recognition, and the 3' end, to which the tRNAs corresponding amino acid is attached (by aminoacyl-tRNA synthetases). tRNAs cope with the degeneracy of the genetic code in two manners: having more than one tRNA (with a specific anti-codon) for a particular amino acid; and 'wobble' base-pairing, i.e. permitting non-standard base-pairing at the 3rd anti-codon position. NCBI's taxonomy places the organism in Eukaryota, Fungi, Ascomycota, Pneumocystomycetes, Pneumocystales, Pneumocystaceae. The record is from Rfam.